This 465-nucleotide ribosomal RNA is filed under the name Vreelandella stevensii. Its description in RNAcentral is "partial 16S ribosomal RNA". It matches the Rfam family "Bacterial small subunit ribosomal RNA", at positions 338 to 795 of the family's 1533-position model. Lineage: Bacteria; Pseudomonadati; Pseudomonadota; Gammaproteobacteria; Oceanospirillales; Halomonadaceae. The record is from RNAcentral.
CCUACGGUGGGCUGCAGUGGGGAAUAUUGGACAAUGGGCGAAAGCCUGAUCCAGCCAUGCCGCGUGUGUGAAGAAGGCCUUCGGGUUGUAAAGCACUUUCAGUGGGGAAGAAAGCCUUGGGGCUAAUACCCUCGAGGAAGGACAUCGCCCACAGAAGAAGCACCGGCUAACUCCGUGCCAGCAGCCGCGGUAAUACGGAGGGUGCGAGCGUUAAUCGGAAUUACUGGGCGUAAAGCGCGCGUAGGCGGUCUGAUAAGCCGGUUGUGAAAGCCCCGGGCUCAACCUGGGAACGGCAUCCGGAACUGUCCGGCUAGAGUGCAGGAGAGGAAGGUAGAAUUCCCGGUGUAGCGGUGAAAUGCGUAGAGAUCGGGAGGAAUACCAGUGGCGAAGGCGGCCUUCUGGACUGACACUGACGCUGAGGUGCGAAAGCGUGGGUAGCAAACAGGAUUAGAUACCCGUGUAGUC